GGACCCGCACAAGCGGUGGAGCAUGUGGUUUAAUUCGAUGCAACGCGAAAAACCUUACCUAUACUUGACAUACUUGGGAGCUCUUGUAAUGAGAGUGUGCCUUUUGGAACCAAGAUACAGGUGCUGCAUGGCUGUCGUCAGCUCGUGUCGUGAGAUGUUCCGUUAAGUCGGAUAACGAGCGCAACCCUUACCCUUAUUUGCCAGCGAUUCGGUCGGGAACUAUAAGGGGACUGCCGGUGAUAAACCGGAGGAAGGUGAGGACGACGUCAAGUCAUCAUGGCCCUUACGAGUAGGGCUACACACGUGCUACAUGGGGAAUACAGACGGACGCUAAGCCGCGAGGUGGUGCUAAUCCUAGAAAGUUUCUCGUAGUCCGGAUUGGAGUCUGCAACUCGACUCCAUGAAGUCGGAAUC
Molecule: ribosomal RNA, 414 nt
Filed under: uncultured bacterium
Lineage: Bacteria
Description: bacterial SSU rRNA
Rfam family: Bacterial small subunit ribosomal RNA
Source: RNAcentral